CAAACCCUAAUUUUCUAGUAUAAGUAGAGGUAACUUUUCAGAGCAAAGGGAGGCGAUUUUGGAGGAGAACAGAGAAGAGAAAAACCCAAAAAAAACUCAUCUUUUCAUCACUUUUCCAAAAAUUCGAAAUCCAUUAAAAUCACCUCCAACCUUCAAUUUUCUUCACCCAAAUCACUCCAAACACCUCCCUAAGCUUGAACCCACAAGAAAAACGAAGAAAAACCAUCAACAAAAGCUUACACAAGGUUCAAAAAUAGCAAAGAAAAGAGUAGGUGUUAACCCACCAAAACAGAGCUCAAAACCAGUAAGAUUCUAAACGUUUUAUACUCA
RNAcentral lists this long non-coding RNA (330 nucleotides) under Trifolium pratense (red clover). Its description in RNAcentral is "long non-coding RNA (TPRA_LNC007531)". The record is from RNAcentral. Lineage: Eukaryota; Viridiplantae; Streptophyta; Magnoliopsida; Fabales; Fabaceae.